UGUUUAUUUCUAGAAUUUUGCAUUUGCAUUAAGAAAGCAAUUUGCUCCUUCAACAUAUCAACUUUAGUUAUCAUUGUAUCUGUCUUACGCCUGACAAAAAACAGAUUUCUUGUCGUAUAUUUUUAACCGCCUAAUGUUAUCCUUUUUUUUCAGCAUUCUAUAGUCCUAUAAGAGAUAACAAUAUUUCUUGCUUGAAGAAAAUGCUGCAAUUAAAUCAAGUUUAAAACAUAACAAGGUGGUGUCUUUUGAAGAAAUUAGUCCAUUUAACAAAGGACAUGCAUAGACAUAUAAACAUAAAUAUAAAAUUCAAUUUUCAUGUAAAAUCUAAAACUAAAAAUUUAGUAUUAUGAAAAGGGAAAGUAGGUCUAAUGUAAUCAAAGGUCCUUUAGGAAACAUUGAUGUUGUUUAGGACCAACGGUGCACUUGGUAAACAAUAGUUCAAACUUGAAUUGAAU
This 455-nucleotide long non-coding RNA is filed under the name Cicer arietinum (chickpea). Its description in RNAcentral is "long non-coding RNA (CARI_LNC003031)". The record is from RNAcentral. Lineage: Eukaryota; Viridiplantae; Streptophyta; Magnoliopsida; Fabales; Fabaceae.